UACGGGGGGGGCAAGCGUUGUUCGGAAUUACUGGGCGUAAAGGGCUCGUAGGUGGCCAACUAAGUCAGACGUGAAAUCCCUCGGCUUAACCGGGGAACUGCGUCUGAUACUGGAUGGCUUGAGUUCGGGAGAGGGAUGCGGAAUUCCAGGUGUAGCGGUGAAAUGCGCAGAUAUCAGGAGGAACACCGGUGGCGAAGGCGGAUCUCUGGGCCGUAACUGACGCUGAGGAGCGAAAGCAUGGGGAGCGAACAGG
This 253-nucleotide ribosomal RNA is filed under the name uncultured bacterium. Its description in RNAcentral is "partial 16S ribosomal RNA". It matches the Rfam family "Bacterial small subunit ribosomal RNA", at positions 524 to 776 of the family's 1533-position model. The record is from RNAcentral.